GUGAAUCAUCGAAUUUUUGAACGCAAAUUGCACUCUCUUCGGAGAGUAUGCCUGUUUGAGGGUCAGCCUAAAAAAAACUCGACAUAGUCGCUUUUUCGCGGUGACAGUCGUCCGAAAUUGGGUCCACUUAAACCUUUGGGUUUUAAGCGCCUUUAAAUCUUCUUUAAGAUUCCACGAACGUUGCUUACAUUUACCUCUUACACGUUUAAGGUC
This 213-nucleotide unclassified non-coding RNA is filed under the name Glomus sp. RNAcentral's name for it is "partial contains 5.8S ribosomal RNA and internal transcribed spacer 2". The stretch from base 1 to 65 matches the Rfam family "5.8S ribosomal RNA", at positions 84 to 154 of the family's 154-position model. The record is from RNAcentral. Lineage: Eukaryota; Fungi; Glomeromycota; Glomeromycetes; Glomerales; Glomeraceae.